Molecule: ribosomal RNA, 941 nt
Filed under: Flavobacterium sp.
Lineage: Bacteria; Pseudomonadati; Bacteroidota; Flavobacteriia; Flavobacteriales; Flavobacteriaceae
Description: bacterial SSU rRNA
Rfam family: Bacterial small subunit ribosomal RNA
Source: RNAcentral
UGCAAGUCGAGGGGUAGAGGCCUUCGGGCCUUGAGACCGGCGCACGGGUGCGUAACGCGUAUGCAAUCUGCCUUCCACAGAGGGAUAGCCCAGAGAAAUUUGGAUUAAUACCUCAUAGCAUCAUGACCCGGCAUCGGGAUAUGAUUAAAGUCACAACGGUGGAAGAUGAGCAUGCGUCCCAUUAGCUAGUUGGUAAGGUAACGGCUUACCAAGGCUACGAUGGGUAGGGGUCCUGAGAGGGAGAUCCCCCACACUGGUACUGAGACACGGACCAGACUCCUACGGGAGGCAGCAGUGAGGAAUAUUGGUCAAUGGGCGCAAGCCUGAACCAGCCAUGCCGCGUGCAGGAUGACGGUCCUAUGGAUUGUAAACUGCUUUUGUACGGGAAGAAACCCUCCUACGUGUAGGAGCUUGACGGUACCGUAAGAAUAAGGAUCGGCUAACUCCGUGCCAGCAGCCGCGGUAAUACGGAGGAUCCAAGCGUUAUCCGGAAUCAUUGGGUUUAAAGGGUCUGUAGGCGGUCUUGUAAGUCAGUGGUGAAAGCCCAUCGCUCAACGGUGGAACGGCCAUUGAUACUGCUGGACUUGAAUUAUUGGGAAGCAACUAGAAUAUGUAGUGUAGCGGUGAAAUGCUUAGAGAUUACAUGGAAUACCAAUUGCGAAGGCAGGUUGCUACCAAUGGAUUGACGCUGAUGGACGAAAGCGUGGGUAGCGAACAGGAUUAGAUACCCUGGUAGUCCACGCCGUAAACGAUGGAUACUAGCUGUUGGGCGCAAGUUCAGUGGCUAAGCGAAAGUGAUAAGUAUCCCACCUGGGGAGUACGAACGCAAGUUUGAAACUCAAAGGAAUUGACGGGGGCCCGCACAAGCGGUGGAGCAUGUGGUUUAAUUCGAUGAUACGCGAGGAACCUUACCAAGGCUUAAAUGCAGACUGACCGGUUUG